This 226-nucleotide long non-coding RNA is filed under the name Hordeum vulgare. Its description in RNAcentral is "long non-coding RNA (HVUL_LNC004620)". The record is from RNAcentral. Lineage: Eukaryota; Viridiplantae; Streptophyta; Magnoliopsida; Poales; Poaceae.
GCAAAGCUUUCUGAGGUUUAGACCCGCUAGGUUUAGCCACCUUGGACGGCUGAUCCACGGGCUCGGCAGAAGAACCCCUGGUUCUCUUCACACUUCGAGCACUCGGGGCCACGGGAGGAGCCGACGGAACAGCGGGGUCAUGACGGUGCUUGGUUCGGCAUUCUGGUGGUGAGGGUGACGAGCUCUGCUCUUCACUCUCCUCCUCCUCCUCUUCUGUUUCCUCCUC